RNAcentral lists this ribosomal RNA (558 nucleotides) under uncultured soil bacterium. Its description in RNAcentral is "bacterial SSU rRNA". It matches the Rfam family "Bacterial small subunit ribosomal RNA", at positions 35 to 586 of the family's 1533-position model. The record is from RNAcentral.
GCUGGCGGCAUGCUUUACACAUGCAAGUCGAGCGGCAGCGCGGGGGCAACCCUGGCGGCGAGCGGCGAACGGGUGAGUAAUGCAUCGGAACGUGUCCCGUAGUGGGGGAUAACCCGGCGAAAGCCGGACUAAUACCGCAUAUGCUCUACGGAGGAAAGGGGGGGACCCGCAAGGGCCUCUCGCUAUGGGAGCGGCCGAUGUCCGAUUAGCUUGUUGGUGGGGUAAUGGCUUACCAAGGCGACGAUCGGUAGCUGGUCUGAGAGGAUGAUCAGCCACACUGGGACUGAGACACGGCCCAGACUCCUACGGGAGGCAGCAGUGGGGAAUUUUGGACAAUGGGGGCAACCCUGAUCCAGCCAUGCCGCGUGCGGGAAGAAGGCCUUCGGGUUGUAAACCGCUUUUGUCCGGAAAGAAAAGGCGCUCUCUAAUACGGGGCGUUCUUGACGGUACCGGAAGAAUAAGCACCGGCUAACUACGUGCCAGCAGCCGCGGUAAUACGUAGGGUGCGAGCGUUAAUCGGAAUUACUGGGCGUAAAGCGUGCGUAGGCGGUUCGCUAA